RNAcentral lists this ribosomal RNA (269 nucleotides) under uncultured archaeon. RNAcentral describes it as "partial 16S ribosomal RNA". It matches the Rfam family "Archaeal small subunit ribosomal RNA", at positions 478 to 747 of the family's 1478-position model. The record is from RNAcentral.
AGCCCCCUGAGUUAUAGGGACGAUUAUUUAGCCUAAAGCGUUCGUAGCCGGCUCAGCAAGUCUUUCGUUAAAUCUAGCGACUCAAUCGUUAGGCCGCGGAAGAUACUACUAGGCUUGAGGACGGGAGAGGUCGACGGUAUUCCCGGUGUAGGGGUGAAAUCCAAUAAUCCCGGGAGGACCACCAGUGGCGAAGGCGGUCGACCAGAACGUGCCUGACGGUGAUGGACGAAAGCUGGGGGAGCAAACCGGAUUAGAUACCCGAGUAGUCC